This 301-nucleotide ribosomal RNA is filed under the name uncultured bacterium. Its description in RNAcentral is "partial 16S ribosomal RNA". It matches the Rfam family "Bacterial small subunit ribosomal RNA", at positions 509 to 807 of the family's 1533-position model. The record is from RNAcentral.
CAGCCGCCACGGGAAUACGAAGGGUGCAAGCGUUACUCGGAAUUACUGGGCGUAAAGCGUGCGUAGGUGGUGGUUUAAGUCCGUUGUGAAAGCCCUGGGCUCAACCUGGGAAUUGCAGUGGAUACUGGAUCACUAGAGUGUGGUAGAGGAUAGUGGAAUUUCCGGUGUAGCAGUGAAAUGCGUAGAGAUCGGAAGGAACAUCUGUGGCGAAGGCGACUAUCUGGGCCAACACUGACACUGAGGCACGAAAGCGUGGGGAGCAAACAGGAUUAGAUACCCCGGUAGUCCCUGUCUCUUAUAC